UUGAGAGCUGUAAAGACUGGACUCCUCUAUUUAUCUGCUGAACAUGUACAGCACAGACAUCCCCACUGUCCUGGGGUGGCAAGGGCAGUCUCCAUGGCUCUUUCAGUCUUUGCUCCCAU
This 119-nucleotide small RNA is filed under the name Gopherus agassizii (Agassiz's desert tortoise). Its description in RNAcentral is "TUC338 (ENSGAGG00000012622.1)". Lineage: Eukaryota; Metazoa; Chordata; Testudines; Testudinidae. The record is from RNAcentral.